GGGUCUCCUGUCCGUGCGGCGGGGGAGGCGUGUUACGGCGAAAGGAGGGAUUUUUGCGGAGAGGAAGGAGCGGGGAGUAACCCGCAGCUUCACAGGACUGGACGCCGGGAACCGUCAGCCUCCUCCCGUCUUUUCUUCUUUCUGGACCUGGCGGGACCUCUCGAUUGACAGUCGAGGGUCCGAACCGGCAGACAGACGCGCGGUGCGGGGACCGUAGACUACAAGGCGGGGGAGGCCAUGAUUCCUGCGGGCGGGCCGUGGAUCUGGGGCCUCGGCCGCCACCCAGACCCACGCCCAAUCCUUCGGCGCUUCUCGAAGCUCCCGCGGCAGUUUCGGUCUUUGGGGGCUGCCCCAGUUGAGAGCGCCUGCCGGAAGGGGCUGCCUCCCUGGAUGGGGGCAAAAUUCGCAUUUCUCCGCUAACUGUUCAAGGAGAAAAAGGAGAAAAUUUUUCUUUUUCAAUCACCCCUGUGGCAUGUGGAGGUUCCUGGGCCAGGGAUCGAAUCUGAGCUACAACUGCAGCAAUGCCAGAUCCUUAACCCCUGUGCCAGACCAGAAAUUAAACCUGUGCCCCAGAGCUCCAGAGACGCCAACGAUCCCAUUGUGCCACCGUGGGAACCCCAAGCACUUGCUUUUCUACGUUUGAGUAGCGGUAAAAGUCCCCUUCCGUCCAGGAACCUUCCCGGGAAUGACAAAUAACAGCAGGAAAGCACGGUUGUGCCACUUUGUAUUCUUGCAACAGUUCCACCUCAGAGAGCAAUGAAAGCUACAACUACAAUGUACGGAACAGGAACUCAGGACCGUACAUUGUGUUUCACAACUGUUGCUGCCUUUGGUCUCACACUUGAUUGUCUCCAGCUCAGGCUUCAGGAUGAGAAGCUUGAAUCUGGAGGUGCUGACUUUUCCCCUCAUCGCAGUGUUCCUGAGACCAUCCAAGCUGUUGCGUGUAUCAGUACAUCUUUCCUUGUCUUCCCUGACUCAUAGUCCAUGCUCAGGAUGUACCACAGUUUGUUCAAGCAAGAGGGACAUUUUGGCUUGCUCCCAAGUUUUUGUCUGUUACAAAUAAAGUUUCUGUGA
This 1074-nucleotide long non-coding RNA is filed under the name Sus scrofa (pig). Its description in RNAcentral is "lncRNA (ENSSSCG00035076989.1, ENSSSCG00045000972.1)". The record is from RNAcentral. Lineage: Eukaryota; Metazoa; Chordata; Mammalia; Artiodactyla; Suidae.